Molecule: ribosomal RNA, 310 nt
Filed under: uncultured bacterium
Lineage: Bacteria
Description: bacterial SSU rRNA
Rfam family: Bacterial small subunit ribosomal RNA
Source: RNAcentral
AACGAACGCUGGCGGCGCGUUUUAAGCAUGCAAGUCGAACGGUAGGAAUCCUUCGGGAUUCUGAGAGUGGCGAACGGGUGAGUAACACGUAGAUGAUCUGCCUUGAAGUUGGGGAUAGCCUAUAGAAAUAUGGGGUAAUACCGGAUAAUACCUUAGAACUCUGGUUUUUUGGUUGAAAGGGGCUUCGGCCUCGCUUUGAGAUGAGUCUGCGGCUUAUUAGCUAGUUGGUAGGGUAAAGGCCUACCAAGGCGACGAUAAGUAGCCGGCCUGAGAGGGUGACCGGCCACAUUGGGACUGAGACACGGCCCAA